Molecule: long non-coding RNA, 299 nt
Organism: Passer montanus (Eurasian tree sparrow)
Lineage: Eukaryota; Metazoa; Chordata; Aves; Passeriformes; Passeridae
Exons: 3
Source: RefSeq, a predicted model, not a curated record
CCGCGAGCACCUUUGGGACCGGGAGCACCAACAGCACCCUGGGCAGGAGGAAGAGGAGGAAGAGGAGGAGGACAGGGACGGACGCGGGCACCCACCUUGGGACCAGCGAUGCCAUCGGCGCCAGGGAAACCGCGGCUGCCAGGAGCGCCCUGAGGGGGACACGGCACGCGGGGCCGGGGGGACCUUGGACACCAGCGGGACCCUGGGGAAGGACGCGGAGGGAUGAAGACCCCCGGGAGGGGCCGGGGCCAGCAGGGGCCGCGCCCCCAGGGCCACAUCGGGGGGUCACUCACGGGUUC